AGAUCUAAACUAGCAACAGAGGAGACUUCAUUGCCUUUCAAAUUUCGCGAAGGACAAACGAACACGGGUACCUUCGUUUUGGUUUGUCCCUAGGGCCUAUAUCGGUAUUUGGGCGUAUUGGCAUUUAUAGCAUUGUUGCCGACUGACUGGAAAAGACAUUUCGUUAGGUUUUUACACAUUCUGAUUGAAAUUCAGAGAAACUAUUAAGACCGCCUUCCAAAAAUUGCUGUGGUUCCCAUCCUUACAUCGUUCAGUGGACUGUUUUCACUUCCUCUUGUAGACAAAAAUUAUAGAUCUCUGUCCCGGAAGUCUGAGGUAAGAGCACUCUAACAUUUAUCUCUUCUAUGUAGUUUGCAAGCGUUUAAUUACGGUAGUACUUCGCCCACAAGGCUGAAGCAUUCUGAUUUUGUCUCCCCGUCGCUGGCGUUGUACGUCAUAUUGUGCUAAUAGACUCGAUUGAAAAAGAACUUGCGCGCUCUCUGAUAGGUGUCUUAUUCGAAAAUGCUAAAUGGUAGCAAAGGGACUCUUUUAUAACCUACUUAGUCCAGUGUUUAAAAUGCGUCAUUAAAACCUUGGCCCGCUAUCCCUCCCCCCAAAAUACUUAACUGGUCUUUCCGCUACAUCAAUAGAGAACCGGGUCAAUAAUAGUCAGCAUGUACAGUAUUGAUGCAGAACCGUAAUCCUGCGAUUAAACUGUCCUUCGAAGAUAGAAAUCAUUUGAUGCAUUUCAAGCUUUGUGAACUCCUUGAUAUUCAUAUAGUGAUAUAUUCUGGUUUUUUUUUACACCGAUUAAGUGCCAUCAAAUCAUUAUCGGUUCAUUUUUCAUAUAUAGUUCAGGAAUAUAUCUAUCUUUCAAAGGUAGGGAAUUUUAUAACCUACGGAUAUUAACAUAUCUAUGGAUAUUAAAUUAAAGGGAAAGAUUGUGGGGUGCAUCCAUAUUGUAUGUUGUCCUAUUAUCUAUUUUACACUUACAGCAUGGUAAGGUUGACAAUCAAGUCUUUAAAUAUUCUCUCAGGGACCAAUAAACACAACAAAAAUGAUAAUUUGAAUUAAUUUCCUACUUAAAUCAUGCUUUAUAUUCUUUUAAACCCAACCAUUGAUUUUUUUUAUUAAUAUUGAGUAUUCUAACUCUUUAUUCCAGCUUUUGUAAAUAUUAAUAUCUACUUGAGGGGCACUUUUAAAAUGUUUAUAAAUAUUGUAGAAUUAAAAGCAUCCAGUCCCCAUAACAAUCCAUUGCAAAUUUAAAAGAUAUUUAAUUGAAUAGAUUGCUAUAUUUCAGGCAAUCAAAAUAUUCCUUGCAACAAUGCAAAUAGUUUAAAUCUUGAUUGGUUAAUACUCCUUCUUGCCCAGGAUUUAAAAAAUAUUCCUAAUGUUAUAUUCCAGUGUUUAUAAGAGCGAUAGUAACAAAUAUGCUUUCAUUUCUACAUUUUUAAGUAUGUUUUGCAUCACCUAAUGCAGGAAAUGCAGUAAAGCUAUGUAUUGCUAACUACAGACCCAGACUCUCAAGAUUUGGAAUGCAAUGGGCUACCUGGAAUACAGCCCUUAGGAAUAUAAUUGGCCUGUUUCAAGAGAAGGAAGUGCAAGAUCCUGGCUGGGCAUUAACAAGUACUUAUGUACAAGCCUUACUGAAAUACAGCUUCAGUGGUGCUGGGAUAUGCUGGCUUCUUUAAUUUAAAAAAAUUAAAUUGCAACCAGUUUUUUUUUAAUAUACCACUUAAAAUUUAAUUCUUGUACUUGGAAAGUAUUGCAAGCUUAUACAUGGAGUUUAAUGUGAUGGUUAUAUAGCAACUUUUAAACUCUUCACAAUAUAUAGUUUGUAUCAAGCGAGUUUUUUUUUUUAUAUUUGCAAAGCUCCUUUUUUUACAUUUGCAACCAGAAAGCUCAACUGACCAGUUUAUCAAAAUUUGAUUUCUAUUUUAUUUAUUAAUGUGAAUCCCAAAGACCAAAACCCCACUUAGAGCCACACUGGUUUAAUAUUUUAUGAGAGAUUGUUGCUAAAUUGCUUUCUGUAUUAUCUUUAUUGUUAAAAUUAUAAAUUAUGUUAUGUAG
Molecule: long non-coding RNA, 2049 nt
Organism: Crotalus tigris (Tiger rattlesnake)
Lineage: Eukaryota; Metazoa; Chordata; Lepidosauria; Squamata; Viperidae
Exons: 2
Source: RefSeq, a predicted model, not a curated record